RNAcentral lists this transfer RNA (97 nucleotides) under Ustilago trichophora. It matches the Rfam family "tRNA". From Rfam's summary of the family: Transfer RNA (tRNA) molecules are approximately 80 nucleotides in length. Their secondary structure includes four short double-helical elements and three loops (D, anti-codon, and T loops). The record is from Rfam by way of RNAcentral. Lineage: Eukaryota; Fungi; Basidiomycota; Ustilaginomycetes; Ustilaginales; Ustilaginaceae.
GGCCGGUUGGCCCAAUGGUAAGGCGUCUGACUACGAUUCCAGCUUCUGAAGUUUGUAGUUAAUCAGGAGAUUCUGGGUUCGAGCCCCAGGCUGGUCA